RNAcentral lists this transfer RNA (64 nucleotides) under Trichiosoma anthracinum. Its description in RNAcentral is "tRNA-Thr". Lineage: Eukaryota; Metazoa; Arthropoda; Insecta; Hymenoptera; Cimbicidae. The record is from RNAcentral.
GUUUUAAUAAUUUAAAUAAAAUAUUGAUUUUGUAAAUCAAAAAUUAGGAAACCCUAUUAAAACU